AUGGACCAGUCGUGCCACUUCGGUUCCGAGCGCGCCGUCCUCCCCCCCCCCCUGACGACUGCUCGCUUCCUUUUUUGCC
Molecule: small RNA, 79 nt
Filed under: Xanthomonas arboricola pv. pruni
Lineage: Bacteria; Pseudomonadati; Pseudomonadota; Gammaproteobacteria; Lysobacterales; Lysobacteraceae
Description: sX9 sRNA
Rfam family: Xanthomonas sRNA sX9
Source: RNAcentral